GAUGAACGCUGUCGGCGUGCCUAAUACAUGCAAGUCGAGCGAACGGACGAGAAGCUUGCUUUUCUGAUGUUAGCGGCGGACGGGUGAGUAACACGUGGAUAACCUACCUAUAAGACUGGGAUAACUUCGGGAAACCGGAGCUAAUACCGGAUAAUAUUUUGAACCGCAUGGUUCAAAAGUGAAAGACGGUCUUGCUGUCACUUAUAGAUGGAUCCGCGCUGCAUUAGCUAGUUGUUAAGGUAACGGCUUACCAAGGCAACGAUGCAUAGCCGACCUGAGAGGGUGAUAGGCCACACUGGAACGGAGCCACGGUCCAGGCUCCUACGGGAGGCAGCAGUAGGGAACGUGCGGCAAUGGGCGAGAGCCUGACGGAGCAACGCCGCGUGAGUGAUGAAGGUCUUCGGAUCGUAAAACUCUGUUAUUAGGGAAGAACAUAUGUGUAAGUAACUGUGGACAUCUUGACGGUACCUAGUAAGAAAGCAACGGCUAACUACGUG
RNAcentral lists this ribosomal RNA (497 nucleotides) under uncultured bacterium. Its description in RNAcentral is "partial 16S ribosomal RNA". It matches the Rfam family "Bacterial small subunit ribosomal RNA", at positions 28 to 507 of the family's 1533-position model. The record is from RNAcentral.